UGAAGUAAGUAAGGGCGUACGGUGAAUGCCUUGGUGCCAACAGGCGAAGAAGGACGCGGCAAGCUGCGAAAAGCCUCGGGAAGCUGCAAGCAAGCGAUGAUCCGGGGAUAUCCGAAUGGGGUAACCUGAUCGAGGCAAUACUCGAUCGUUCAUACCUGAAUACAUAGGGUAUGAAACGCGAAACCCGCUGAAGUGAAACAUCUCAGUAAGCGGAGGAAAAGAAAGAGAAAUCGAUUCCGUAAGUAGUGGCGAGCGAAAGCGGAUGGAGCCCAAACCGAAGGUAUUCCUUCGGGGUUGUAGGACCACGUCAUAUUCGACCAUACUGGAUAGUAGAACAGCCUGGAAAGGCUGGCCGGAGAAGGUGAAAGCCCUGUAGACGAAAUCCAGAGUGGGAAUUAGUGGUAUCCUGAGUAAUACAUCACACGUGGAACGAUGUAUGAACCCGCGCGGACCACCGCGCAAGGCUAAAUACUAGUUGGCGACCGAUAGUGAACAAGUACCGCGAGGGAAAGGUGAAAAGAACCGCUGUGAGCGGAGUGAAAUAGAACCUGAAACCGUAUGUCUACAAAGUGUCAGAGCAGAGCAAUCUGCGAUGGCGUGCCUUUUGUUUAAUGAGUCUGCGAGUCAGUGUUUGUGGCAAGACUAAGGGCUUCCGGCCCGGAGUCGCAGCGAAAGCAAGUCCGAACAGGGCGCAAUAAGUCGCAGGUACUGGACCCGAAGCGGAGGUGACCUACCCUUGGCCAGGUUGAAGCAUGGGUAAAACCAUGUGGAGGACCGAACAGGUGAACGUUGAAAAGUUCUCUGAUGAGCUGAGGGUAGGAGUGAAAGGCUAAUCAAACCCCGUGAUAGCUGGUUCUCUUCGAAAUGCAUUUAGGUGCAGCGUCACGUGCUGAUGCGCGGGGGUAGAGCACUGACAAGGCUAGGGGGCACACCCGCUUACCAAACCUUAUCAAACUCCGAAUACCGUGCAAUGGAACGUGGCAGUGAGACAGUGGGGGAUAAGCUUCAUUGUCGAGAGGGAAACAACCCAGACCAGCAGCUAAGGUGCCUAAAUAACGCUCAGUGGAAAGGAUGUGGGAUUACACAGACAGUGAGGAUGUUGGCUUAGAAGCAGCCACCAUUUAAAAAAUGCGUAAUAGCUUACUCAUCGAGUGAUCCUGCGCCGAAAAUGAUUGGCGAUCAAGCGUUAUACCGAAGCUCUGGACUUUGCCGCAAGGCAGAGUGGUAGAAGAGCGUUGCAUGCGCGUCGAAGGGCGAUGGCGACUGACCCUGGAGCACAUGCAAGUGAGUAUGCAGACAUGAGUAACGUUAAGCCGGGUGAAAUCCCCGGCCGCCGUAAACCCGAGGUUUCCAGGGCAACGUGUUUCGUCCCUGGGUUAGCCGGGACCUAAGCCGAGGCCGAGAGGCGUAGGCGAUGGACAUCAGGUUAAUAAUCCUGAGCUCGCAACCCUUAAACUGGGGGGACGCAUGAGAAAAGAUGACUAGGUUAUUGAAUUCCGAGUUGAGUCUACGGACUCAGCGCAUCAUUGGAUCGAGUGCCAAGAAAAGCCCCAGCGUAUGCUAAGCGACCCGUACCGCAAACCGACACAGGUGGGUGGGUAGAAUAUACCAAGGCGUAAGAGUGAAACCUGGUUAAGGAACUCGGCAAAUUAGCCCCGUAACUUCGGAAGAAGGGGUGCCUGCAGCGAUGCAGGCCGCAGAGAAAUGGCCCAACCGACUGUUUAUCAAAAACACAGCACUCUGCAAAGACGCAAGUCGAAGUAUAGGGUGUGACACGUGACCAAUGCCGAAAGAUUAAGGCAAGGGGUUAGCCGCAAGGCGAAGCUCUAAACCCAAGUCCCGGUGAAUGUCGGCCGUAACUAUAACGGUCCUAAGGUAGCGAAAUUCCUUGUCGGGUAAGUUCCGACCUGCACGAAUCGUGAAACGAGUUGGGCACUGUCUCAACCAGGCGCUCAGUGAAAUUGUAGUGGCGGUGAAGAUGCCGCCUACCCGCAGAAGGACGGAAAGACCCUAUAGACCUUAACUGUAAGCUGUCAUUGUUUCUUCGGUUUUAAUGCUCAGAGUAAGUGGGAGACGCUGAAGACGCCCUUUAGGGGGCGUCCGAGUCAUCAAUGAGACACCACCCUUUGAAACUGGAGGAUCUAACCCUGAGCCGUGAAUCCGGCCAGAGGACCGUGUCAGCCGGUCAGUUUUACUGGGGCGGUAUCCUCCCAAAGAGUAACGGAGGAGCGCGAAGGUGGGCUCAGCCCGGUUGGCAACCGGGUGUCGAGUGCAUGGGCAUAAGCCCGCCUAACUGUGAGACCAACAAGUCGAGCAGAUGCGAAAGCAGGCCCAAGUGAUCCGGCGGUAGAAAGUGGAAUUGCCGUCGCUCAACGGAUAAAAGGUACCUUAGGGAUAACAGGCUGAUCACGCCCAAGAGUUCAUAUCGACGGCGUGGUUUGGCACCUCGAUGUCGGCUCGUCGCAUCCU
This 2469-nucleotide ribosomal RNA is filed under the name human gut metagenome. RNAcentral's name for it is "bacterial LSU rRNA". It matches the Rfam family "Bacterial large subunit ribosomal RNA", at positions 1 to 2548 of the family's 2925-position model. The record is from RNAcentral.